This 520-nucleotide ribosomal RNA is filed under the name uncultured bacterium. RNAcentral describes it as "partial 16S ribosomal RNA". It matches the Rfam family "Bacterial small subunit ribosomal RNA", at positions 28 to 523 of the family's 1533-position model. The record is from RNAcentral.
GACGAACGCUGGCGGCGUGCUUAACACAUGCAAGUCGAACGGAGAAUUUUAUUUCGGUGAAAUUCUUAGUGGCGAACGGGUGAGUAACGCGUAGACAACCUACCUCUCAGAUGGGGACAACAUCGCGAAAGCGGUGCUAAUACCGAAUGAUGUAACUUUUCUGCAUGGAAGAGUUACCAAAGGCGGCCUCUAUUUAUAAGCCGUCACUGAGAGAUGGGUCUGCGUCUGAUUAGCUAGUUGGCGGGGUAAUGGCCCACCAAGGCGACGAUCAGUAGCCGGUCUGAGAGGAUGAACGGCCACAUUGGGACUGAGACACGGCCCAAACUCCUACGGGAGGCAGCAGUGGGGAAUCUUCCGCAAUGGACGAAAGUCUGACGGAGCAACGCCGCGUGAGUGAAGAAGGUUUUCGGAUCGUAAAGCUCUGUUGUUUGAGACGAACGUGCAAUUUUUGAAUAAGGAAUUGUAAUGACGGUAUUAAACGAGAAAGCCACGGCUAACUACGUGCCAGCCGCCGCCGUAA